UUAGUGGCGGACGGGUGAGUAACGCGUGGGUAACCUGCCGUAUACAGGGGGAUAACAGUUGGAAACAACUGCUAAUACCGCAUAAGCGCACACUGUCGCAUGACAGAGUGUGAAAAUUUCCGGAGGUAUACGAUGGACCCGCGUCUGAUUAGCCAGUUGGCGGGGUAACGGCCCACCAAAGCGACGAUCAGUAGCCGACCUGAGAGGGUGACCGGCCACAUUGGGACUGAGACACGGCCCAAACUCCUACGGAAGGCAGCAG
Molecule: ribosomal RNA, 262 nt
Filed under: uncultured bacterium
Lineage: Bacteria
Description: partial 16S ribosomal RNA
Rfam family: Bacterial small subunit ribosomal RNA
Source: RNAcentral